GGCGGACGGGUGAGUAAUGCCUAGGAAUCUGCCUGGUAGUGGGGGACAACGUUUCGAAAGGAACGCUAAUACCGCAUACGUCCUACGGGAGAAAGUGGGGGAUCUUCGGACCUCACGCUAUCAGAUGAGCCUAGGUCGGAUUAGCUAGUUGGUGAGGUAAAGGCUCACCAAGGCGACGAUCCGUAACUGGUCUGAGAGGAUGAUCAGUCACACUGGAACUGAGACACGGUCCAGACUCCUACGGGAGGCAGCAGUGGGGAAUAUUGGACAAUGGGCGAAAGCCUGAUCCAGCCAUGCCGCGUGUGUGAAGAAGGUCUUCGGAUUGUAAAGCACUUUAAGUUGGGAGGAAGGGCAGUAAGUUAAUACCUUGCUGUUUUGACGUUACCAACAGAAUAAGCACCGGCUAACUUCGUGCCAGCAGCCGCGGUAAUACGAAGGGUGCAAGCGUUAAUCGGAAUUACUGGGCGAUAAGCGCGCGUAGGUGGUUCGUUAAGUUGGAUGUGAAAGCCCCGGGCUCAACCUGGGAACUGCAUCCAAAACUGGCGAGCUAGAGUAUGGCAGAGGGUGGUGGAAUUUCCUGUGUAGCGGUGAAA
RNAcentral lists this ribosomal RNA (593 nucleotides) under Pseudomonas sp. LBA17. Its description in RNAcentral is "bacterial SSU rRNA". It matches the Rfam family "Bacterial small subunit ribosomal RNA", at positions 97 to 686 of the family's 1533-position model. The record is from RNAcentral. Lineage: Bacteria; Pseudomonadati; Pseudomonadota; Gammaproteobacteria; Pseudomonadales; Pseudomonadaceae.